AUUGAACGCUGGCGGCAGGCCUAACACAUGCAAGUCGAACGGUAGCACAGAGAGCAUGCUCUCGGGUGACGAGUGGCGGACGGGUGAGUAACGUCUGGGAAACCGCCCGAUGGAGGGGGAUAACUACUGGAAACGGUAGCUAAUACCGCAUAACGUCGCAAGACCAAAGUGGGGGACCUUCGGGCCUCACACCCUCGGAUGGGCCCAGAUGGGAUUAGCUAGUAGGUGGGGUAAUGGCUCACCUAGGCGACGAUCCCUAGCUGGUCUGAGAGGAUGACCAGCCACACUGGAACUGAGACACGGUCCAGACUCCUACGGGAGGCAGCAGUGGGGAAUAUUGCACAAUGGGCGCAAGCCUGAUGCAGCCAUGCCGCGUGUAUGAAGAAGGCCUUCGGGUUGUAAAGUACUUUCAGCGGGGAGGAAGGCGGUGAAGUUAAUAACUUCACCGAUUGACGUUACCCGCAGAAGAAGCACCGGCUAACUCCGUGCCAGCCGCCGCGGUAA
This 504-nucleotide ribosomal RNA is filed under the name uncultured bacterium. Its description in RNAcentral is "partial 16S ribosomal RNA". It matches the Rfam family "Bacterial small subunit ribosomal RNA", at positions 29 to 523 of the family's 1533-position model. The record is from RNAcentral.